UGCAGUAAUUAGAAUUUUAUUGCAUUUUCAAUCAAAACAUUGAUCAACAUAUUAGUAUCUAUGCAAAGACUUUUUUUGUAAGAUAACAAUUUAGAGUUAGUACAAUUUAAAUACAGUGUUUAAAAUAAAGAGACAGUGAUUAGUGAUAUUAACUACAAUGUCAAAUACAGGGUUGUAAGCAGAACAUACGUUUUGAAUAUCAUGCAAGAUAAUGAAAAUAAAUCCAAGAUUAAAAAAAAAUAUAAGCUAAAGGGAGAUGUAGCCCACUGCCACCAUUUGCACUCAUGCCUCUAACAUACAUUAGGAUAAAAGAGAUUGAACAAGAAAAGGCAGAGCAAAUGUGCAGUAAAAAUGAAUCUAGUCUUAUGUUUAAAAAAAAAAAAAAAAAAAUCAGCCUCACCUAACAUCAUGAAAAUCAAAAUUCAUUGGGACACAUGGCACAGUUUACACUUAUAUUGCAAUGUAACAGAAUUUAGGAAUACAUUCACAUUGCAGAUUUGGCAGAAUGCCUAUAGCUAAUACAAUAAUGACAAAGUGAUGCAACAGUUAUAGAUCAAAGCAGAACCCCAAUCAUAGUUGUAACAGAACACAAAGAUCAUUUUCUGUUUCUCCCACAUAAGCAUAUCUACGAGGACAGAUGAUAUAUUAUGACAUUUUCAGUCUUGCAGUUAAUUCUGAAUUAUAUAUUGUAAAUAUUGCUGUGUGAGCAUAAUUAAAGGUUUUACCUUUUGUCACAUGACCACAUGCCCCACAGCAGAGCUAUAUGUAGCAGACAGUUCACAAAAUCUGGAUUUGACCUAGGAUGAUUAAACUUGUUAGUACAUGCCUAAAGGUUCCUUCAGGUAGCACUCCUCUUGAAGCCAAUUAAGGAUUAGACAUAAAAAUGUUGGGUAGAAUGGGACCUGUUUGGAGGAUAUUACAUUUAUCCUUAAUUAUUUGUGCAACUCCACCAGACCUUUUUUUUUUUUUUUUUUAAAUGACCUGCCUCCGAUCAUUGUAAGUCAUGAUUGUGCCAGUGCCAUACACACAGUCUCAUUUCUAUGUUCUCACUCAGUGAAGGGAUUUUGCAUGCUUCUAAAAUAAGAAAAACUACCACAUCAAGAGGGCAAAAGUUAAAAAAUAAUAUUAGGAAGUGUUACUUUACUGAGAGGGUAGUGGAUGCAUGGAAUAGCCUUCCAGCUGAAGUGGUAGAGGUUAACACAGUGAGGGAGUUUAAGCAUGCGUGGGAUACACAUAAGGCUAUCCUAGACUUAAGAUAAGGACAGGGACUAAUGAAAGUAUUUAGAAAAUUGGGCAGACUAGAAGGACCGAAUGGUUCUUAUCUGCCGUCUCAUUCUAUGUUUCUAUGUUUGUUGUUAAAUAACAGCUCCAACUGCGCCAUAAAUGAAAAAGGACAUCUGAAUUGUGGAUGAUUGUCAAAGGUACAAUAAACUGAUGUAGCUGCUUUGGGUGUGGAGGGGUACUUGAAGAGGAAUAAACCCCAGAGAAGGUAGAAAAAUGCUGCCUUCUGUCUGGAUCCCACAGACCCAAGUGGACCUCUGUAGGGCAGUACUGUAACUUUUAUUUACAAUAAGAGAGUAUAUAAAGUGAUCCAUUAUUCCACCUUUACCCACAUUUUUAAGGUUAUAUUUGUCAUGCAGUUUUUUUUUUGGUACAGUAUUUUUUGUAUGUUUAUAUAUAGAAAUAUUUUGUUUUUGUGUGUUUAACUCAAAUAUGGUUUAAUAAAGUGUUGCCUGUCUGUUUCCUUCAUUGAUUUCCCAGCUGACACUGUUUUUUGUAAAGUGAACUAAGUGAUUUCUCGUUGGAAAUGCAAUACUUGAGUUAAUGUUCAUUUCUAUACAGUUUUUAAUGAUCUAUUCUAUACAGUGAUGAAAGGAGAUCAGUUUUCUUAAAGAUUUAUUCACCAAACUGUGAACUGUUGCAAGUUGCCAAAAUAAUUUUAUUGAAACAAAUUCAGCUCUCUUUCAGUAUGGUAAUUUGUUUUUCCAAAUUUGGAAUUCCUUUUUCAAUUUACCACAGUUCAUAAAUUAAUGAAGAGAGAUAAAUAUGACUGGAUGUUGUGGAAGAUGGCCACAAUAACAGUUAGAUCAUUUUCUGUGGGCUAUUUGGCCCUUCUCUGGCUGUGUAUCCACAAUAACCAGCCAGCUAGGGCAUUCUUAACUGGUACUGCCACUUCAGAAGAGUUUGUUGCUUUCCAAUAUUUUUGCCCCACUAUUUAGGAAGCAAGACAUUAUCUUGCAAAACCUGUAUAACUUAUCUGCCAGAGUUACUCAUCAAUAGCACAUUGCGUAUUAUCCUCACAUCCCUGGUGAAAUUAUCCCAUAAGGGAAUGUUGUUGCAUGUAGUAAUAUUUUUCUUCCCUGCCUCAUCCAUUUUUACACGUCCUGUAUACUCUUCUUGCCAUAUCCAGAAUAUAUCAUGUGGAGUGGUCUUUGUUUCUAUGUAAAACUACAAAUAGAGGUCCACAGGCAUCACAACGUAGGGUGAAGGAAAAAAUAUAUAUUUAUUGUUUUAUAAUAUUCAGACACGCUGCUGAGGGGUUAUAAAUGGAGUUCUGCAAAAAUCAUUUCUAGGGGUAUAGAAAGAAUAUCUGAGGUGAUCUCUGAUUGGACAGAUUUCAAAAGCGAUCUAACUACACAAGCCCAGUUGUCCUCAACAGAUCAUAGAUAAGAGAAGCAACUUCAGUUAUUCACUCUUUUACCACCAGCAAAGAUAAUUUAAAAAAAUAUAUAUUAUUCUGACGGCAUUUAUCUGAGAGGGUGCUGCCCUAAGUGCCUCUAUGGACAAGCCGCCACUGCUCCAUAUCCAUAGCUCCAAUGGAAUAAACUAUCCAGCCAUUCUGGUCCAUCCACCUCACUCAUCUCCUUCCCUUUACUCAAUUUUUUACUCAUUAUCUUUCUCCUUUCAAUCCCUCAUACUGUGUUAGGUUUCCUUCCACAACGAGAUCAUGUUUAUAUUUUUGCACAAAACCUCUGCAAGUCUAUUGUGUCUAUUAUAAGGACAGGAUUGUUUUGAAAACGCCUUCCAUGUCCCAUGUCAAUAUCCCCUUCAUAUGAAAGCUAUAUUUAUUCUGGUUUGAAAAUGUCCUUUCUAACAAAAAAUGAAGUCGUUCUAGAUUUAUAAACAUGUGGUACAAUCUGGACAACAGAAUAAAUAGUUUGAUUCUUCACAAAGUGAGUAAGUGCUUAUUAUACCCAGGUUUUGCAUGCUAAAUAUUGUUUUUGCCACAGGAGAAUGCAUAAAUGGUUGGCUAAUUUAAUUAACAUUUCUAUACAUAAUUAGGAAGGGAGAAAACCCUUGUUUAACGCAUACAUUUAUUAUUAAGAGAUACUGUAUAAACAUUUCAUAUUGUGUCAGGAGCAGAUUAUUUACUGUAAUUAUACAUGUCAUAUGUCAAAGAUAUGUGUCAUUAUCAGAUCUUUACUGACUGCAUUCCACAAGAAGCAUUUGAAAUCUACCACCUUUUAUCUGUGAUUAAAAAAAAUAGAUCAACAAAACUCCUCUCCAAAAGCUGGCAUGUACCGUUGGUUGCAGUGGUGUAUCCUGGUUUUGUGCUGCCCUAGGCAGGACAAAACUCAGGCACCCCCCUGCGCCACCCCCACCCAACCUUCUAAAUACACACAUACACAAACAGUCAGACACACACCACAGUCAGACACACAGUCAGACACAAACACACACACACAGUCAGACACAAACACACAAACACACAGUCAGACAGUCAGACACAAACACACACAGUCAGACACAAACACACACAGUCAGACACAGACACAAACACACAGUCAGACACAAACACACAGACACAAACACACAGUCAGACACAAACACACACACAGUCACAGACACACACACAGUCACAGACACACACACACAGUCAGACACAAACACACACACACACACAGUCAGACACAAACACAGUCAGACAAACACACACACAGACACAAACACACACACACACACAAACACACACACAGUCAGACACACACACACACAUCAAAAAAAUGUCUUCUUUUUAUUUAACCCCCCCAGCCUCCUUACCUUUGGGAGUGCUGGGGGGGGUCUCUCUCUCCCUGGUGGUCCAGUGGCUGCCGGUCGGGCAGGUGGCGCUGGCAGGCGGGCGGCUGGCGAGGGAGCUCUUUCUCUGAGC
Non-coding RNA from Pelobates cultripes (western spadefoot toad), 4150 nucleotides. The record is from the annotation of a GenBank genome assembly. Lineage: Eukaryota; Metazoa; Chordata; Amphibia; Anura; Pelobatidae.